Small nucleolar RNA from Tupaia belangeri (northern tree shrew), 132 nucleotides. The record is from Ensembl. Lineage: Eukaryota; Metazoa; Chordata; Mammalia; Scandentia; Tupaiidae.
GUGAUGUGAUAUACUGAGUAGGGGGCCUGGAGAAUAGCUCUUCUGUUUAUAACACACCCAACAGGCAUUUUGGGUCACUGUGAUGAGGGGCACAAAAUGUGUGGCCUCCCUGUGAACAAAUGUCCUAAAUGU